Molecule: ribosomal RNA, 432 nt
Filed under: uncultured bacterium
Lineage: Bacteria
Description: partial 16S ribosomal RNA
Rfam family: Bacterial small subunit ribosomal RNA
Source: RNAcentral
ACGAACGCUGGCGGCAGGCUUAACACUUGCAAGUCGAGCGAGACCUUCGGGUCUAGCGGCGGACGGGUGAGUAACGCGUGGGAACGUGCCCUUCUCUACGGAAUAGCCCCGGGAAACUGGGAGUAAUACCGUAUACGCCCUUUGGGGGAAAGAUUUAUCGGAGAAGGAUCGGCCCGCGUUGGAUUAGGUAGUUGGUGGGGUAAUGGCCCACCAAGCCGACGAUCCAUAGCUGGUUUGAGAGGAUGAUCAGCCACACUGGGACUGAGACACGGCCCAGACUCCUACGGGAGGCAGCAGUGGGGAAUCUUAGACAAUGGGGGCAACCCUGAUCUAGCCAUGCCGCGUGAGUGAUGAAGGCCUUAGGGUUGUAAAGCUCUUUCAGCUGGGAAGAUAAUGACGGUACCAGCAGAAGAAGCCCCGGCUAACUCCGUG